This is a long non-coding RNA of Musa acuminata subsp. malaccensis (wild Malaysian banana), 923 nucleotides long. RefSeq lists it as uncharacterized. NCBI's taxonomy places the organism in Eukaryota, Viridiplantae, Streptophyta, Magnoliopsida, Zingiberales, Musaceae. The record is from RefSeq and is a predicted model, not a curated record.
GAGAGUUGGCGCACCUCCUCUUUGUGUUCAAUAAAGGGUCUCGAUGGUACUUUUCCGACUGCGCUUCUUCCACUGUCCCGCUGCGGUUCGAAACUGGACUUUUGUUGGAUCAUCGAACAGUGUGUUUCUCAUUCUUGCCGACUUGGGAUCCGUAAGUUGGAUUUCGUUUCGCGAGAAUGUGACAAAUUUUGGGGAGUGGGAGAUUGUUAAACAGAUCGAGUAAAGGUCUCCUUCUUGUUUUGCUUGCUUACAUCUUUGCAUCUUCAACGGAAGGCGUGAGCUUUGCCUAGGCUGGGUAGUGUUAUUAAACGCUUCUUGUGUUCUCCUGAUGAUGAUUUCUGAAAGGCUUUUCGCAUGAGGGAUGAGACAAAAGUGCUGCGUCACGAUGGGGGGGGAUGGUUCUAUAGAUGCGUGCAACUUCUAACAAAUCCCUUGUUUCGGUGAAGCACCAAGCGACAGGACACUUUAAUACAGUCUGCAAGCCCAAAGUGCCUUGGUGGACUCAGCUGCUUCAUUUGCUGCUGCAAAGUACAGAGGACCCUGUCGAUGUUGCAAAGCAUGUCAUGCGAGAAGCUAGUCUUAAGAGGGCUAUAUAAAGGCUUGGUUCGGAUCUUGGAACGCAAAGUUCCUGGUAAUAUUGCUGCCUUGUUCGGAGUAUACGAAGCCCUCAAGUGGUAUUUUGCAGGAAGUCGAGACACUUCAGGAUUCCUCUGAUCAUUGCUGGAGGCCUAGCUGGAGCAUCCUUCUAUCUAUCUACCCAACGUUGUAAAGAAGCAUGAUUCAGAUUGAUGAUUAUAAGAAUCCAAAGUACUUCAGAUUCUGACUUCAGAGGGAAUCAAGGACUUUUACAGAGGUUUUGGACCAGCAAUGGCUUGCAGUGUCCUAGUUAAUGCAGCCUCUUUCUUGGCAUAAGAUCUAGCGUU